This 363-nucleotide long non-coding RNA is filed under the name Mytilus galloprovincialis (Mediterranean mussel). Lineage: Eukaryota; Metazoa; Mollusca; Bivalvia; Mytilida; Mytilidae. The record is from RNAcentral.
GUUUUGCUCUAGAUACAAUCUGUUGAUCAUAAAGAAACUUCUGUUAAAAUUUCAUCAUAUUCAUUGUAGGUUUCACAGUUAUUGAUGUUUAAAUUUGCCAUCAAUGAAAAUACCAAAGAGUUUUUAUCAAGUAAACGUAAAGAGAUUCACACAUUAUUUACACGAUACAUAAUAAUUAAUGUACAUGCAAUGUAUUUACAAAAAAUGCAGUAUAUACGACCUGCACAGCAAAACAGAUUCUCAGCUGUAGCAUAGGCUUAACCUAAACAAGUUAUCACAAGUAAAAUUGAUCUGCCCUUAAUAUAUUCAAUGACGCUGUCCAUGUGAACAUUUCAUUCUUUAAAAAAAUUGCCUUAAACUUGA